CAGCGCUCGUUGCGUGCGGGCGGUUCCCGGCGUGGUGACUGAUUCUGGCAGGAGUUUUGGUAUACUUGCUGUAUAAGAUAUGGCAUCUGUAAGCCGCGUUUAAGACUGUUGGCUGUCGCAUUUUCCGGUCAACACCGAACUGCAGCCUGUGGAAUUUUCACCACCCUCAAACCGACCACAGCUCGUGUGCGGCAGUACGUGCGCCGCCGUUGGUACCGAGAUUAGAAACGUCCAUCUGCCGGUCAAAACUGAACUGCGGCCGACGGGAACUCCAGCUCUCUCAAAGGAGCCAUCAAGGUGGUGGCACCGUUCCAGCACACUGGCCAAUGGGCGAAAUCGAGCUCUUUCAGAGUUCGCGAGUUGGGGGUCACCGCUCCAGUACACCGACCAAUGGACGUCACUUCAACAGAUGACGUGACCCACCUGACCCGGUGGCGCUGGUGUCCAGCUGACAACUGACCGACCUCCAAGACCUGGCGCUAGGAUCCGCUCGCAGGUCUUUGUCGGCUGGCGCCGGUGUCCUCUGCAGUCGGGCGACCACAGACACCAUCAGCGCAAUGAAGACCAUCGCAGCAGCACGUGUAAUCGGUGUCGCGGAUGGUGUCCGAGGGGGUAAGCGGGGGAAGGCAGGUCUACCUGACUUCUCUCCUGGUUACCCCCUCCCAUGCUUGGGUGGUAUGUUUGAGCCCAGACAUACCACCCAAGCACUUUAUUGGGUGGGGGAGGGGAACAGGGUGGUCCCCGGU
Long non-coding RNA from Amphibalanus amphitrite, 746 nucleotides. RefSeq lists it as uncharacterized. Lineage: Eukaryota; Metazoa; Arthropoda; Thecostraca; Balanomorpha; Balanidae. The record is from RefSeq and is a predicted model, not a curated record. The transcript is spliced from 7 exons.